This 374-nucleotide ribosomal RNA is filed under the name uncultured organism. Its description in RNAcentral is "bacterial SSU rRNA". It matches the Rfam family "Bacterial small subunit ribosomal RNA", at positions 526 to 896 of the family's 1533-position model. The record is from RNAcentral.
CGGUGGGAGCAAGCGUUGUUCGGAUUUACUGGGCGUAAAGGGCGCGUAGGCGGCCAGCACAAGUCAGUUGUGAAAUCUCCGAGCUUAACUCGGAAAGGUCAACUGAUACUGUGCGGCUAGAGUGCGGAAGGGGCAACUGGAAUUCUUGGUGUAGCGGUGAAAUGCGUAGAUAUCAAGAGGAACACCUGCGGCGAAGGCGGGUUGCUGGGCCGACACUGACGCUGAGGCGCGAAAGCCAGGGGAGCGAACGGGAUUAGAUACCCCGGUAGUCCUGGCCUUAAACGAUGAAUGCUUGGUGUCUGGGGUUAUAAAGUCCCCGGGUGCCGUCGCUAACGCUUUAAGCAUUCCGCCUGGGGAGUACGGUCGCAAGACUG